Molecule: non-coding RNA, 31 nt
Filed under: Mus musculus (house mouse)
Lineage: Eukaryota; Metazoa; Chordata; Mammalia; Rodentia; Muridae
Source: RNAcentral
UACAACUCUCUUGUGUGCCAUUAGACAUAGU